GGGGCUCAGUGGUAGAUCAUCUGUUUGGCAUGCAAAAGGUCUCAGGUUCAAUUGUUGGCAUCUCCA
This 66-nucleotide transfer RNA is filed under the name Sphaerodactylus townsendi. RNAcentral describes it as "tRNA-Ala". Lineage: Eukaryota; Metazoa; Chordata; Lepidosauria; Squamata; Sphaerodactylidae. The record is from RNAcentral.